Molecule: long non-coding RNA, 1236 nt
Organism: Medicago truncatula (barrel medic)
Lineage: Eukaryota; Viridiplantae; Streptophyta; Magnoliopsida; Fabales; Fabaceae
Exons: 5
Source: RefSeq, a predicted model, not a curated record
CUCUUUUUUAGAUUGGUGCACUAACAUUUGUUUCCCCCUUUUUCCUUUAAUCCUUUAUAUUACCCCCCCUUUUUUUUAAGCUACAUUUUUAUUGCCCUUAUCUCUCUCAAACCAUUUCUCUUUCUCUUUCUCAGAUUCAGCCUCACCGUGGCACCGUCACUCUAUCGUUCCAUUUGUCACAAACCUUUCACAAACCCUUUCUAUGUUUCUCACAUAAACCCCAAUCAUAGAUCUGCUCUCAGUUUUCGGAUCUGACGGUGGCGAUGAUUUGCGUUUUAGGAUAUGACAACGGCGAGGGUUUAUCUCUUUGGAAUCUCUCUCCUCAGUCGCCGUCGGAGGAGGACAGGUAACUACCUCGAUCUUCUCUUCUUUCAUUCAAAUCGAUAAUGCAUUGUUUUUUAAAAUCUAAUCUCUUUUUUGUUGAGGGAAAUCUUUUGUGUUGCAAAGUGUUGUUGGAAGGAGACUUUCUUCCUCGUAGAUCUGCCAUUGUUUCUAGUGAAAAGUGAGGUCCAUCAUUUGGUUGAGAUCAUUUAGGUAUGGGAACAAAACUACCUCUAGUGAAUAAGUGAAGUGCAGGAAACCAAAUUUACAUUAAAGGUAUAAGGCAUACUCUUAAAGCUGCAUAUUUUGUGGCUGAACAAAUAUGGAUUCUUGUGAGCGAAGGUCCUAGAGAUAGAAAAUGCAAGUGAUUUGAGUUUAAGUUCAUUAUUCUUAAAGGAUUUUGGUUCUUUUGCAGCUACAGUGUUGGAUUUAUAUGUGCUUGAUGAAUGUGUGUUUGGUGUACUAUGCUACAGCAGGGUCUGGUUGUUGUAGUCUAUGUUGGUUGACAGUGUUGCAGCUCUGAUAUAAGGGCUCUUUUGCUGCUGAGAGAUCUGGUUUACUCCUAAAUAUUUGCAUGUUGUUCUUUCUUAAGCUCCAGCCCGCUAUCGGUGGUAUGGAUACACGAAGAUAUGUGCCUGCAUUUUGGUUGUUUGUGAACUGGAUUGCACAUCCAUAUAUGUUUCUUGUAUUGUUUUUUUUGGGAAUUUUAUACUGCUUGAGUUAUGAGCGUUGUUAUUCCCUUUGUAUGUUCUGUUUUUGCAGCCAGUUUAUAAUCUGUGCUCCUGUUUGUGUGUAAUCAAUUUUAUUGGUUGUUAAAAAAACAUUACAAGGUAGUAUAAUUUGUUGAACUAUUUAUGUUACACUAUGUAAUAUUACAAUCUGUGUUUGAAAAAUAAUUUAUAUUAGUAUUAGGAA